GCCCCGGCUCUGCGUAGAGCGAAGGGAGGCCGAGACGGGAGCCCCAGGCACUCCCAGAGCCCGGGAGGCGGAGAGGAGACGGGCUGGGGCCCCGAGACGGCGGUGAUUGACGGGGCGGACGCCCAAAGAGCAGAGGAGGAGGAGACCCCGAAGAAGGGGGGCUGGGUGGGGGCCCUGGAAGAAAAGAGGAGGACCGAGGUGGGGAAGGAGGGGAGUAGAAGGGAAGGCGGAGGACCGUUUAGGGGGAUGCCUUUCUGGAAAGGAAAAGAGGGGGACAGAGGAGCCUUCAAGAGGAAGAAGUGUGAGACACCCCCUUUUUUUCUUUAAAUAAGAGGCGUCCCAACAUCCUCGCCCAGGCCUCGCCAGGUGCUCCAGCUCCGGCUGGGUCACCGCGUUGCUCGGAAGGUCGCAGCUGACAGACAGAGAUACUAUAACCCAGGAGGAGGUUCGGGUUCCUGGUCGCUUUCUGCCUGAGAAGCCAGCGCUAAGUUCCGGCAUGAUGGCCUUAGAAAGUGGGUUGGAGGAGCUCCUGUUUUUUGCUUCUUUGUCGGAACACCCCGAGAAAACACGUGGUGCUGGUCCUUCGGAAGAAACGAGCAGUAGAAGGUUGGGGUGCAUUGGAAGGGGAGUGGUCAGGGACAUCCCUGAAGUUUCUAGAGUUUGAAAAGCCUCAUUUCUUUGCCUGGCUUGUUCUUUGAGCGUCCAUUCCGCCCUUUCCCACACGACUGCACGCUCCCAGUGACGUGAUCAAUGCCAAGACCCAAGGAGUCACAGAUCACACUAAAACCUCUAGGCCUCAUAGUUAACACCACUGUCAGCUUUCUAAGCGGAGAGGCAGAUAUUCUGGGGAGUUCGGAGCCUCAGCUUUGGUUUCUGACUUUGCCGGUUGUUUAUGGGUAAGGUACAUAUUUGUUUAUUUAAAGAUUCAGCAUGAUUUCCCGAACUUCCCCUGUGCUCCAGAAUGCCCCCUUUUGGGUAAGUACGGGGAGAGUGGAGCCCUGUGGCUUUCUCUAAGACUUUAUCUCCCUGAUCCCCGUCCUCUUGAGUUGAGGACAGAAGACUGCCCAAGUAGGUGCUAAGCCAGCACCAGAACAAGUUCCUGCAGAAAUCCAGAUGUCAUCUUUGUGGACUUCCUCUGUGGGCAGAUCCUAGUGUAUCUAGGCUACACUAUCUAAAGAUCCAUGAUAAGGGCUUUGCCCUCUAGAGAGCUUUGAGGGUCCCAGGAGACCUGGGAACUAUAUUGCCCAGAUUGUCAGGAUCCAUACUUGCUGCUAAGGGUGGACCAGAGUUAAAAGGAUUCAGCUGACCAGAAGAUCCUCGCUCUUGUCACAGACAGAUAAAAGAAGGCCAGGAAAGAAAAGAAAUACAUUGGUUGGGUGUUAGGCCAGUUAGUCACUUCCUGGUUUAAGACUCUGGACCCAUUUCACCAUUAGCUGAGGCCUCAGUGAUCUCCCUAAUCCCCCUCAGAGCUGGACUGCAGUAGCUUUGAGAGUAUUAACGUUGCCAAGAAUGAUCACUCCAACCCUAACCCUGGUUUGACCACAAACCUGUUCCUUGUUGGGCCCUUGAGGCUUUAAGUUGAUGGAGCUCCUCUCAUGACUGGGUCCUGACAAUGCUCAUGACGGGAAGAUUUUCUGAGUCCUGGAGCCCCACAAUUCUGAACCUCCCCUUGCUGCCUUCUUUGUGGCCCCCAAGCCACCAAUCCUGCCUGGAGCCUCCAGGCAACAGUCUGCAGCAGGCAGAGCAGAGCGGAUGAGGGGCUUGCCACCCAGGGUGUCCAGUGAAAAGCCAUUACUCAUUAAGCAUAGAAAACCUGUAGCCCCAUAACCCAAUGCAGGGGUGUGAUAUGAUACUAGCUAACCCGUCCUACCUUUGUCACAAACCAGUUCUAGCAGGUUUGGGCCAGAACCUCUUGGCAGCUGGGGGCUGCCUGGAUGCCUGCCCUAAAAAGGUUAGAAUCUCAGCUAGGGUCUCUUUGCACGCAGCAGUCUCUGUCUGGCCCCUCCCUCUCAGAAUUCGCACCAGGACAAAGCCUAGGCUGUCUGGGUGGGGAUUUGAUGGACACCAGUGCAACACUCAGACAAGCUCUGCCCUGGGCUCCAGCACGGUGAGCAGCUGCUUGAGAGGCCUGUAGUGCCAAGUACUUAGGAUCUCUACUUGACACCGGCUUUCAGCCUGGCCUCGCACCCCCCACAAGCGCUUGCUUUAGAAGUUCACCAUGGGCAGAGUGCUUUAUGACCAGGAUGGAGGAAACUUUUGUAAACGUUUGGGAAUGUACGUUUCAUUGAAAUGUCUCCUUGCACUCCCAGUUGCGCUGCGAAGUUCCCUGGGAGCAUCGGACUUUCUGGAUGACACUAAUGAGUUCAGGAGCUCAUGUCGACAGGAUUUCUUUGGCCCAGACUUUUGGGCUGAAACGGUCUACGGGCCUUGUGCCUGGAGAUUGACAGGAAACUCGUAGGAUGGGGCCUGAAGGCCACCACUGACUGCACGCAUUGACCGGCAGACAUCUGGCACACCGCAAUCCCGUACAGCCUAUGGGUCUCCCAAUGGAUUUCUGCGCUUGGGCUGGGGCUAUUCGAAGUGAAUCGGGGUGGGGGGGGCGGGAAGACUUGCUGCUUAUAUCCAAGGCCAGCGGACCAAGAGACCUUCGCUCCGGGGAAAGCUUGUAACUCAAUAAAGAAAAAAAGGGAGUUCUCCGCAGGAAAUCAGAGAAGCAGAGCGUGUGCGCGUGUGCGCGCGUGCUAAUCUUUAUUUUUCCCAGCCUGUAAAGACUGCAGAAAUCUCCCGGACUGACUCAAACUCUGUAGCUCCCUGCUUAAUCUGUGAUGCUCUGCACCCGAGGCUCAGAGAAGGGACGUCUGAGUUGUUGCAGGUCACGGUGCAGCACUGGACAUUCUUUCUCUGCCACCAACUUUCCCCAAUCUUCUUGGGCCUGAGCAGUGCGUUUCGUUGAAAGCGGGCCAGCAGUCUAAGCGGGCGUGCAUUGCAGCCCUCUGCGCCUCACCUAUGGUAGCUUAUGGUAGCCGCCAGGUCUGCUGUGUCCCCCACAAGUGCUACAAGCGUUUGCAAAAUCUGUCACCCCUCAGUUUUCUGUGUUGCCCAAUGUGUAAGAACACGUCAGAUGCUGGUUUACAGCUCGUGCCAGUUCUCAAGUUUGCAGGGCCCUGGGCUCCGUGACUUCACUCUGAAAAGGGUGUAAACAGUAUUGUCGCCUGCGCUGCACGUGGCUAUGGGUGUGACAAGCCCCAUGGGUCAGAGCAGCACGGAUCCCAGGGCGUCUUUCUGUCGCUCUGACCUGCGAGCCUUUAGCCUGAGACCCACCAGGCAGUCUGGAAGACUGACUUUAGAAAACGGUUUGGGGACCGCGGCCAUACCCGGGAUCUUGUGCGAACGAAAAGAGAGAGCACCGGGCUCCAAGAGCGUUUGGAGGCCCUUAAAGCAGAUGAUCCGCCUGGGAGGUGCCAGUGGCAGGUGGUGUUUUAGGCGACUAAAAACGCCUGGCCACUUUCCUGCGGUGACCGGCCCGGUCUCUCCCGUGAUUGCUGCUCAGGCCCGGUGCGCCUUUGGACACCGCUGCACCCCGUGCGGGGCCUCUUCGGAUGGAGGUGGGGGACGCGGGCGCAGGGGGCCCAGCAUCCGGAGAAGGGCCGGUUCAUGGAAUUUUCAGGAAACUGCUGAAAUCGACCCCGCCGUGGUUUUUCCGCGGGACAGUAGAGUGACUGUGCGUUCCUGGGCAGUUUGUUGUAGACACAAUGUGCGAGCGCCGCCACGCGUUAAGUCCCCAAGUUCAGGUCUAAAGGUGAAUUUACUCAGUUUCCCCUAGGCCUCUAGAGCAAGAGGGAGAAAGCUCCCUGACAGAUCGCUAGCUCCUCCGAGGCUGUCCUCACAGCACCCCCAUCCACACACACACACACACACACACACACACACACACACACACACACACACACGGGUUACCAGAUAGGUGUGGUCACAAGAUCCCGCGAGGUUUUUUUCUUUCCUUCUGUGUUCCCCCUGAAGGGUCUGGGCUCCUAGGACUUGCUUAAAUGGAUGCCUGAAUGACCACAGGGAUUUGACUGGCAGCAACAACUGGGAAGUCAUUAGGCCAGUCAAUGACUUCCUCCUCCCUUCUGCUCGACAAUCCUAGCACAUUCUUUAGAACUUCCAUUUUGUUUGUAGAGAAAAAUCCUACAGAGCCGAGUGCUCUCCUCCAGCAUGCAGACGAGGGAGUUGAAGUCUCAUGGCACAGGAAACCACAGACUGAAAACACAGGGGUUCACUGCUUCCAACAGCAGCACAGUCUCUCUGGUCACAGGGACGUUUUCUGAGUUAUUCUGAUUUGGGGUGGUGAUGGCGGUGAUGCAAUCUUUAGUUGUGUUUUCUCACUUUACAAAAAUUCUCUAUAGAGAAAAGUUAGAUCAAAUUUCCUGGAAGAAGUGAGUCCCUCUUCCUCUUCCUUUUCUCCUCUUCCUCUUCUUUCAUUACCUGUGAGAAACUCUCUGGGGGUAGGGGUUCCUUGCUUGGCACUUCUCUCUUAUGUGGUAUCUAGUUUGUAUUACCAGUACCCAUAAUGCAUCAGCCCCACCCCUCCCCCAAGGUAGUGACCUAAGCCAUUGGCAACCUCCAUUGGGUAGCACCUGGAUGAGGCCCGCCAGCAACUCAGGGCUUCCUACCGAGCUCUGCACUUUGAAGGAGACCUGGAAAAGGCUAACAUUGUUCUUACCUUGGAAACCCAAUACCUUGUUGUCAUUUUGAAUUAAGACUAAAAUCCCCAGGCCGAUUCUUAUGGGAUGAUGUGCACUAAUUGAUUUAUGCAGAGUGCUGUAAGAACACUUUAAUGAAGUAGGUAGAAACAAGAUAUGGGAGAGCAGAUAGCACAGGGACACCCAGUGCAUGAGACUGCUGCAGAGGGAACUGGUCAAAACCAGCCUUAAACGAAUGUCUUCUAUUAGCAUGGUGGCACUCUGGUUUGUGGUGACAGGCACAGCUGGUCCUUUUGCAGUAACUGUCUCCAUCCAACCAUUCUAAUAGACCUGCACCGUCAGCAUGUGCUCACACGCGGAGAAUGCAAGGGGCCUGGAGCAGGAGUCAUGGGCUUUGGGACCAGGCAGCUAUGGGUCCUUGAUUCACAGGCACCGCUUCAGUGAGUUACUGAAGCCUGGAGCUUUAUUUUGCUCAUCUGUAAAAUGGCGUUAGGAGCCCAACAGCAAGCAUUCAACAGUUGUUUGGUAAGUUGAAUGCAAUUUCUAAGCUCAGUAAGGAUCUUAGUAGGUGCUUAAUAAUUGAGUCUGUCAUCACGAGGGCUAUGUCUGUGAAAGUGUGGAGUUCCAUGUAAUACGUGGAUCUCAGCCUCUGAACAUCCUUAGUUUUCUUUUCUUUUCUUUUAAGAUUUAUUCAUUUUGUGUAUGUGAAUACACUAUUGCUGUCUUCAGACACACCAGAAGAGGGUGUUGGAUCUCAUUACAAUGGAUGUGAGCCACCAUGUGGCUGCUGGGAAUUGAACUCAGGUCCUCUGGAAGAGCAGUCGGUGCUCUUAACCGCUGAGCCAUCUCUCCAGCCCACAUCCUUAGUUUUCAAUGACAACUGAAAGUUGAAAGUAUUACAGAGUGCAUGUAGUGCCCCUGGAGUCCAGAAGAGGGAGUCAGGAAUUCUGGAACUGAAAGUAUGGAUGUUUGUGGGUGCUGGGAACUGGACCCCCAUCCUCAACAAGCACAGCAGUGCUCUUAAACACCAAGUCAUCUUUUAGCUUCACAUAGGUAAUUUUGGAAAUAAGGAGCUCACCUGUUCUGUGGCGCACACUCUUCCUCACCUUGUGGUGAAAUCUGCCGCUGUCCUGCCGCGCUCCACCUGGGUGAGAACCGCCUCUUUGUUCAGCGCAUGCACAGUUCGGCCUCAAGUCAUCCAGUAACUCUCCACUACCUGAGCUUCUGAUUCUGUAGAACGUUUGCUCAAGCAGCCCUUACUUGUGCCCUGAAGCAGAGGAAUAAUGAUGACAGCCAUUUAUCUACUUAUCUUACACUUGUUUCAUGCUAUUAUGUCAUUGUUGUUAACCUGGUAUUGUAUAUAAAUAAAUUAAGCUUUAUUGUAGUGUGUA
Rattus norvegicus (Norway rat) is the source of this 6094-nucleotide long non-coding RNA. RefSeq lists it as uncharacterized. NCBI's taxonomy places the organism in Eukaryota, Metazoa, Chordata, Mammalia, Rodentia, Muridae. The record is from RefSeq and is a predicted model, not a curated record.